GACCUCCAUCGUCACCACCACUACCUCCACCACCCCUACCACCUCCACCAUCACCACCACUACUUCCACCACCACCACCUCCACCAUCACCACCACUACUUCCACCACCACCACCACCACCUCCACCACCACCACCUCCACCAUCACCACCACCACCAUCAGCACCACCACUACCUCCACCAUCACCAACACCACUUCAUCACCACCACCACCACCAUCACCACUACCUCCACUAUCACUACCAUCAUUACCACCACCACCACCACCAUCACCACCACCACCUGUACCACAAUCACCACCAUCUUGCUGAUUGGUCUUCAUCCAACAGAAGGCAUGUUGAUUUUUCUCUCAAGGCCUCACAUUAAGAGACUCAGAGAAUGACCUGUGAUAUGAUAUAAUUUCAGGGCUGGGUGACUAAGUCUGAGCCAGAUGCAGGUGCAUCAGUAAAGAUCAUAUGCUCUACAGAAAGGGAGAUGACCUCACAGAUGCAGAGAGAAGCUAAGACUCACAGCGGCUACGACCUCAGAAAGGAAAAGAAUGUUGUGGUUCUUGGUUCCUGAUAGGCCCCUCAAGGCUGAACCUCCUCACAUGUUGGAGCUUUAAAGAUACAGCUGUAUCAGGCCAGGCGUGGUGACUCAUGCCUGUAAUCCCAGCACUUUGGGAGACCGAGGAGGGCGAUCGAGACCAUCCUGACUAACAUGGUGAAACCCCAUCUCUUCUAAAAAUACAAAAAAUUAGCCAGACUUGGUGGUGUACGCCUGUAGUCCCAGCUACUCAGGGGGCUGAGGCAGGAGAAUCGCUUGAACCCAGGAGGUGGAGGUUGCAGUGAGCUGAGAUCGCGCCACUGCACUCCAGCUUGGGCGACAGAGCGAGACUCCAUCUAAAAAAUACAGCUGUAUCAAAUCUGCUUGUGCUUUGGCCAUCUGAGAGAUCUUAAGUGUGCAAUGCAAUGAGGAUGGAGCAACGUAUACACCAAUCAAGAGAAAGAACAUGUCCAUUACCCCAAAAAGUUCUCUUACACCCGCUUCCAGGCUAGAGUGCAGUGGUAGGAUCUCGGCUCACUGCAGCAUUGACCUCCUGGGCUCAAGCUAUCCUCCCACCUCAGCCUUCUGAGUAGCUGGGACCGCAGAGGUGCAUCACCAUACUCGGCUAAGUUUUGCAACUGAUCCUGAGCACACGUCUCCAUGGCGGCAGGAGUCAUUGCUUUUUAGAUCACGUUCUCCGAGCAAGAGCCGAGAAAUCGAUAUCUCUCACAAGGCUGUAGACGUGCUGGAACUGAUUAGUCAUUAACCUAUUGUCACUCCUCCCAGCGCUCAUGGAAGGAGUUGCAGCAUGUCAAUGGAUUUUAAAAGAGUACCAGGAUUAAACUUCUCCAUGGCAGUGGGCAUUUGUGAAAGGUCUGUUCUGAAAUACCAGUACCAUCUUCUCACAUGUUAAGGGCCAAAAAUCUCAGUAAGUCACUCCAAAUCAGGUUUUACAGAUGAUUUUUUGAAAUAUUGAUUCUGGUAUUGUCCCUGAAAAUUUAAUUUAUCAAAUAAGCCAAUUAAGAAGCGUCUUUUAAAGGCACGUAGGGACCAUUCAGCACUGGAUGGACAAGAAAAUGAACAUAUUAAUCUUACAGUCAGCAACGUUUUGUUGAUGCUUUGGAAACUGAACUGCAAAGGAGUACUUAAAUGAACUGAAAGAGUUAAUUUGACUUCUAAGAGCCAUAAACUGGCUUGGGUUGGGUGGAUUCUGUAUUCCCAGACUCUGG
This 1753-nucleotide long non-coding RNA is filed under the name Homo sapiens (human). RNAcentral describes it as "non-protein coding LINC02142:6". Lineage: Eukaryota; Metazoa; Chordata; Mammalia; Primates; Hominidae. The record is from RNAcentral.